Molecule: ribosomal RNA, 356 nt
Filed under: uncultured bacterium
Lineage: Bacteria
Description: bacterial SSU rRNA
Rfam family: Bacterial small subunit ribosomal RNA
Source: RNAcentral
CUACGCUAAUACCGCAUACGAUCUACGGAUGAAAGCGGGGGAGUCGCAAGACCUCGCGCGAUUGGAGCGGCCGAUAUCAGAUUAGGUAGUUGGUGAGGUAAAGGCUCACCAAGCCGACGAUCUGUAGCUGGUCUGAGAGGACGACCAGCCACACUGGGACGUGAGACACGGCCCAGACUCCUACGGGAGGCAGCAGUGGGGAAUUUUGGACAAUGGGCGCAAGCCUGAUCCAGCAAUGCCGCGUGCAGGAUGAAGGCCUUCGGGUUGUAAACUGCUUUUGUACGGAACGAAACGGUGAGCUCUAAUACAGUUUGCUAAUGACGGUACCGUAAGAAUAAGCACCGGCUAACUACGUG